AUUGAACGCUGGCGGCAGGCCUAACACAUGCAAGUCGAGCGGAUGAAGGGAGCUUGCUCCUGGAUUCGGCGGCGGACGGGUGAGUAAUGCCUAGGAAUCUGCCUGGUAGUGGGGGAUAACGUCCGGAAACGGGCGCUAAUACCGCAUACGUCCUGAGGGAGAAAGUGGGGGAUCUUCGGACCUCACGCUAUCAGAUGAGCCUAGGUCGGAUUAGCUAGUUGGUGGGGUAAAGGCCUACCAAGGCGACGAUCCGUAACUGGUCUGAGAGGAUGAUCAGUCACACUGGAACUGAGACACGGUCCAGACUCCUACGGGAGGCAGCAGUGGGGAAUAUUGGACAAUGGGCGAAAGCCUGAUCCAGCCAUGCCGCGUGUGUGAAGAAGGUCUUCGGAUUGUAAAGCACUUUAAGUUGGGAGGAAGGGCAGUAAGCUAAUACCUAGCUGUUUUGACGUUACCAACAGAAUAAGCACCGGCUAACUUCGUG
This 484-nucleotide ribosomal RNA is filed under the name uncultured bacterium. Its description in RNAcentral is "partial 16S ribosomal RNA". It matches the Rfam family "Bacterial small subunit ribosomal RNA", at positions 30 to 507 of the family's 1533-position model. The record is from RNAcentral.